AUUGAACGCUGGCGGCAGGCCUAACACAUGCAAGUCGAGCGAGCGGCGGACGGGUGAGUAAUGUCUGGGAAACUGCCUGAUGGAGGGGGAUCACUACUGGAAACGGUAGCUAAUACCGCAUACCAUCAGAUGUGCCCAGAUGGGAUUAGCCAGUAGGUGGGGUAAUGGCACACCUAGGCGACGCUCCCUAGCUGGUCUGAGAGGAUGACCAGCCAAAGUGGAACUGAGACACGGUCCAGCGUCCUACGGGAGGCAGCAGUGGGGAAUAUUGCACAAGGGGCGCAAGCCUGAUGCAGCCAUGCCGCGUGUAUGAAGAAGGCCUUCGGGUUGGAAAGUACUGUCAGCGGGGAGGCGUUACCCGCAGAAGAAGCACCGGCUAACUCCGUGCCAGCCGCCGCGGUAAUUC
RNAcentral lists this ribosomal RNA (406 nucleotides) under uncultured bacterium. Its description in RNAcentral is "partial 16S ribosomal RNA". It matches the Rfam family "Bacterial small subunit ribosomal RNA", at positions 29 to 526 of the family's 1533-position model. The record is from RNAcentral.